This is a regulatory RNA element of Arcticibacter svalbardensis MN12-7, 152 nucleotides long. The record is from Rfam. NCBI's taxonomy places the organism in Bacteria, Pseudomonadati, Bacteroidota, Sphingobacteriia, Sphingobacteriales, Sphingobacteriaceae.
AUCAUUCUUCCAACAGUCAGGUUAUUUUAUCCAAUUUUAUGGAUAGAAUUAAAAAGGAACCGUGUGCAAUUCACGGGCUGUCGCGCAACUGUAAGUAACAUCUGCUUUAGCAGGUUACAAGCCAGGAUACUUGCCGUCUGUUUGAGACCAAU